GGGAGAGAGUGAGGGAGGAGGGGAGAGAGUGAGGGAGGAGGGGAGAGAGGAGAAGGGGAGAGAGUGAGGGAGGAGGGGAGAGAGUGAGGGAGGAGGGGAGAGAGAGGGGAGAGAGUGAGUGAGGGAGGAGGGGAGAGAGUGAGGGAGGAGGGGAGAGAGUGAGGGAGGAGGGGAGAGAGUGAGGGAGGAGGGGAGAGGAGUGAGGGAGGAGGGGAGAGAGAGUGAGGGAGGAGGGGAGAGAGUGAGGGAGGAGGGGAGAGAGUGAGGGAGGACGGGAGAGGAGUGAGGGAGGAGGGGGAGAGGAGUGAGGGAGGAGGGGAGAGGAGUGGAGAGGUAGAAGGGGGAGAGAGUGAGGGAGGAGGGGAGAGGUAGAAGGGGGAGAGAGUGAGGGAGGAGGGGAGAGAGUGAGGGA
This is a long non-coding RNA of Oncorhynchus tshawytscha (Chinook salmon), 412 nucleotides long. Lineage: Eukaryota; Metazoa; Chordata; Actinopteri; Salmoniformes; Salmonidae. The record is from Ensembl.